Molecule: ribosomal RNA, 433 nt
Filed under: uncultured bacterium
Lineage: Bacteria
Description: partial 16S ribosomal RNA
Rfam family: Bacterial small subunit ribosomal RNA
Source: RNAcentral
AACGAACGCUGGCGGCAUGCCUAACACAUGCAAGUCGAACGAGACCUUCGGGUCUAGUGGCGCACGGGUGCGUAACGCGGGGGAACCUGCACUUAGGUUCGGAAUAACUCCCCGAAAGGGGUGCUAAUACCGGAUAAUGUCUUCGGACCAAAGAUUUAUCGCCUUUGGAUGGGCCCGCGUUGGAUUCGCUAGUUGGUAGGGUAAAAGCCUACCAAGGCGACGAUCCAUAGCUGGUCUGAGAGGAUGAUCAGCCACACUGGGACUGAGACACGGCCCAGACUCCUACGGGAGGCAGCAGUGGGGAAUAUUGGACGAUGGGCGAAAGCCUGAUCCAGCAAUGCCGCGUGAGUGAUGAAGGCCGUAGGGUUGUAAAGUUCUCUUACCCGGGAUGAUAAUGACAGUACCGGGAGAAUAAGCACCGGCUAACUACGUG